RNAcentral lists this ribosomal RNA (471 nucleotides) under uncultured bacterium. Its description in RNAcentral is "bacterial SSU rRNA". It matches the Rfam family "Bacterial small subunit ribosomal RNA", at positions 28 to 486 of the family's 1533-position model. The record is from RNAcentral.
GAUGAACGCUAGCGGCAGGCUUAAUACAUGCAAGUUGAGGGGCAGCAUGAUAUACGCGAGUAUAUUGAUGGCGACCGGCGGACGGGUGAGUAAUAGGUAGGAGACCUACCUCAUACAGGGGGAUAGCAUAGAGAAAUCUGUGGUAAUACCCCAUGAGGUUAUAUGAAUAGAGGCAUAUAAUCAAAGCAUAAGCGAUUAUGCGGUAUGAGAGGGGCCUACUGACCAUUAGCUAGUUGGUGAGGUAACUGCUCACCAAGGCGACGAUCCGUAGCGGGUCUGAGAGGAUGAUCCGCCACACUGGGACUGAGACACGGCCCAGACUCCUACGGGAGGCAGCAGUGGGGAAUUUUGGACAAUGGGCGCAAGCCUGAUCCAGCCAUGCCGCGUGAGUGAAGAAGGCCUCGGUUGUAAGACUCUUCGUCCGGAGAAUACGUGUUCUCUACAUAGGACAUGGAUGACGGUACCGGAACG